GUCCCGUCAGAAACCUUCGCUGGACACAAACGGGCUCCACUGCUGCAGCCGGAAAGCGAGAUGUCCCAGCCGUGGCACGGGAAACCGGUCACCCCUAGUGUCGCGUCAGCUUCCCGGGAACCGGGCACUCAGCCCAGCCAAGGCCCGGUCCCCUGUGAGCGCUCAGCCCCCGCGUGACCCAGAGCACCCGGGACGGCUCAUGCGGGCAAAACGCGAAGGCCGUGUGGUGGAGGGCCACCGGCGUCGCCGUGGACGGCCACCGGACACCUGACCAGCGAAUGCAACGUCCCAGAAGAUGCAGAGGUUAAAAAGCACAAAUAAUUUAAUAGCGCCACACAGGACCUCCACCAAACCGGCGGCACAGGGGACCCCGGCCCGCGGAGCCUCAGCGGAUGACGGUGACGUGGGGCGGAGCGGCGGUCUUGGGGUCCGAGCGCUGGCCCGGGCUGCCGUCGGCCUCGGCGUCCGACAGCGAGCCUUCCUCCUCGGUCUCCAGUGUGUACUUGUUCAACUCCGCCAUUUUCUGCAAGCGGAACGGGACUUCUCAGUCUGGGGCAGCGGCCCGGGGGCCGGGCGGCAGGCGCAGGCGCAGGCCCUCACUCACCAGGACCAGGGCGUCCAUGACGUCUUUACAGAUCUGCAGGCUGGUGGCACUGGUGACUUCCAGAAACAAAUCAGACGUCGUCUUCUUAAUCUGUGGAAACCCAAGGAACGUUUCUGAGGGGAGUGACGUCAUCGCACGCGGACAGCAGCAGCUCCGCGCUGACUCAGAGGUAACCUGGAAAGCCAUCUCCUCCCCAGGCAGGCUCGGCUGCUCCCGGCUCGGCCGUGGCCCCCGCACCUCGCGCGGACAGGACACGUGCGGGCUGUUCUCCAGGGAGAGGCGCAGGGGACGGGUGGGCCGACCCUACCUUUGUCUUCUCGCUGUUGGUGAUCGGGGGGAAGGAGAUGGUGUCCCCCGCGGCGUCCACCAGGCAGGGGUAGCUGUCUUUCCCAUCCAGCAGGUGCAGGCACCUGUGCAGGCCGGAGACACCCUGCCGCUUGCGCUGCUUCCGCUGCUCGUCCGCCUCCAGCUGCAGCUGCCGCACCAGCUCCUUGGCCUUGGCCUCCCUCCGCCCCAAGGGGACGAUCUGUCAGGUGGAAACGCGGGACGGCCGUCGUGGUCACAACCACACACGCCAGGGCUCGCUCCCCUCCCCUCCCUCACCGGCAGAGGGGGGACGGGGCGGUCCAGCCCAACGAGGGGCUCGGCCCCCGAGGGCCUCACCACAGGGCGCUGCCCAGGCACGG
Molecule: long non-coding RNA, 1290 nt
Filed under: Oryctolagus cuniculus (rabbit)
Lineage: Eukaryota; Metazoa; Chordata; Mammalia; Lagomorpha; Leporidae
Description: lncRNA (ENSOCUG00000039577.1)
Source: RNAcentral